Molecule: long non-coding RNA, 14007 nt
Filed under: Solanum tuberosum (potato)
Lineage: Eukaryota; Viridiplantae; Streptophyta; Magnoliopsida; Solanales; Solanaceae
Description: long non-coding RNA (STUB_LNC000508)
Source: RNAcentral
CUAAAGAUAAAAGAUCGACUCAUCGUGCAAUCAUCAAGACUCGAAGUUGUCCCCAUUAUAGGGAUGGGUGGUAUAGGCAAGACCACACUGGCUAGAAGAGUUUAUGAUGAUUCCUUGAUUGCAUACCAUUUUUAUGUUCGAGCAUGGACAAAUGUAUCUCAAGAAUUUGACACUAGAGAAAUUUUUCUUGGUAUUCUUCGCUCCAUUGGCGUGGUCAAGGAUGAAGUAGAAAGAAACAGUACUAAUGAGCAAUUGGCUGAAAGAGUUUAUCGAAGUUUAAAAGGGAUGAAGUAUCUUAUUGUCCUAGAUGAUAUGUGGUCCAUCGAGGCUUGGAAGCAUGUGAGGAGAUCUUUUCCGGAUGAUCAUAAUGGAAGUCGAAUCUUGUUGACCACGAGGCUGGUAGAUGUUGCAUCUUGUGCUUGCUCUGGCAAUUCCCUUCACGAGAUGCGCUUUCUGAGUGUGGAGGAAAGCUGGAUUCUUUUACGCGAUAAGGUCUUUGGGAAUGGUAGUUACCCUCCGGAAUUGGAGAAAAUUGGGAGAUACAUUGUCCGUCAGUGUCAAGGGUUGCCACUUGCAGUUGUUGCAAUUGGUGGACUACUUUCCAAGAUGAGCAAGGAAACAAGUUCUUGGGAGAAAGUUGCAGAAAAGGUAGGAUCACUUAUGACAAGUGACACUAUGGAUUGCUUGAACAUACUUUCUUUGAGCUACAACCACUUGCCUCAGUACUUGAAAACAUGCUUCCUUUAUAUGGGAGUUUUUGCAGAAAGUCGUGAGAUCCCGGUCUGGAAGUUAAUAAAGUUAUGGAUUGCUGAGGGCUUCGUCAAGAAAGUUAAUCAUAAAAAAUCUAGAAGAUGUGGCAGAGGAAAAUUUGAGGGAGUUGGUUGAUAGAAGUUUGGUUUUGGUGGGGAGAGAUACCUCCCUGGGAAAAAUCAAGACUUGUAAGAUGCAUGAUCUCGUUCGAGAUAUGUGUUUGAGAGAAUCCCAAUAUGAGAAUUUUUUACACUUCAAAACGAGGUAUGACAAAGAUAAUCUUCUAGAAAACAUUAAUUGUCUACGUCGUAUAGUUGAUUUCAUUAAUUAUGGAUCCAGUGGAAUUUCUAUAUUUAUUCCACUCGCACGUUCUGUUUUCUUCAAACAUGAAUACAACUUUUGUUCCCCCGCACGAUUAAGGUUUAGAUUGCUUAGGAUAUUAGAUGUUUGUUUUCCAUGUUCUUUCUCCUGUAGUCAGUCCAUAUCAGAACUUGUUCAUUUGAGGUAUCUUGCUUGUCCGUCCUUCGGUGGCCUUGUGCAAUCAAUAUGCAAGCUUCGGAAUUUACAGAACUUAGUUAUUCAUGAUGUAAGCUUAUUUGCUUCACUUAUAACAACCCAGUCCCUAGCAUGGGAAGUUUUGAAUAUGCCUCAACUAAGACAUAUCCAUACAAAAAACUUUAGUCUCUUCAUACCCCGACCUACAUCCCUAAUUGCUGAGAGGGAGAAUCACUUACUAACAAUAACCGGAUUGAUUCCCUCAUCUUGUAAUGAUGAGGUGUUUCUAAGAAUUCCAAAUUUGAAGAAGUUGGGAAUUUUAAUUGAUGUUGCUUCAUACCCUAUUAGGAAUUGCCUUGAUAAUCUUGUACAUUUAACUCAGCUUGAGAAGCUCAAAGUUGUGGUCAGAGAGCCUUUUCUGCUAAUUUUUACGCCGAUUAUCGAAGGUUGGAUGGACAUUCCACAUUGUGACAAUUUCCCACCAAACCUUAAGAAGUUAACAUUGUGCAGAACAAACCUACAAUGGGAAGACAUGAACAUUCUCAGAAAAUUACCUAAUCUUGAGGUGCUCAAACUUAAAGAUUAUGCCUUUCGCGGACUAACUUGGAAACUAAGCGAUGUAGACGAAGAUGGAUUCUUGAAGCUAAAGUUUUUACUUCUUGAGAGCUUGCAUCUGAUGCAAUGGGAAGCAACAAGUUAUCAUUUUCCAAGCCUUGAGCACUUUGUCCUAACAAAUUGCCGGUACUUGGAAAAAAUUCCUUUCGACUUUGCGGAGAUUCAGACACUACAGCUGAUUGAACUACACGAAUGUAUGCGUUCUGUUCUUGUUUCAGCAGAGCAAAUACAAGAGGAGCAACAAAGCUUUGGAAAUGAUGACCUCAUUAUCCGUGCGAACUAUAUACUUGAGUAAACAUUAAUCAAAAAGGUAUACCCUUUUUUUAAAAGCAUAAAGAUUUUUGAUUAGUUAGAUUCCUUCGAAAUCUGAAAAUGAUUUUUAUAUUCAUCAUUUUCACUUAUUUAUACUAUAAAAGGUGCUAAUUACAAUUGGUUUGUGCAUUGCAGACGUAACGACUAGCUAAAUGGAAAGUACCAUAAGGUAUAUACACUCAAGCAAAUUUGCAGAAGUUCAUGUUAUUUCCUGUCUGUGUAUUUCGAUUUCCUUUUAUCAAAUUCUGGGAAGUAAGUUAGUGAAAUAGUCAUGUUUCAACUUGUUUGGGACUGAAACGUAGUUUAGUGAAUCUGACAUCUAUAUACAUUCAUCAAAAAGAAUGCAUUACCUUUGGAAUGUGUAUAUAGAAUAACUUCUCUUUUUAUUGAAAUUGAUUCUAUAAAUUAGUUCUCCUCAACAAAACCUUUUCGACCAUACCAAACACACCCUUAGUGAUUCUUUGUUUUGCUCGUCUUAACUCUUAUCUAUACUUUUAACAUUUUUUUGUCUUUUACUUGCUUCUUUUGUUUACAAUAAUGUUUUAUCAUUUUCAAUAUGUUGACUUUUAGUCAAUUUUAUUUUUUCUUAAUUCAAAACAAUAUAAUAAAAGAGACGUUGAAAAAUUCCAAAUAUGUGAAAAAUCUUCUCUUUAUUUUGCUUUGCUCUUUCGAUCUUAAUUUAUAUAACAUAUUUCGCUUUUUAGUAUGUCUCAAAACAAAUUACUACAUUUUCUAAUUUGAAUAUAUAUUAAAAUUGUGGAUAUCAUAUUUUAGUUAUGAUGUUAUACUUUAGUUAAAGAAUUUUUCUUUUUUAAUUGUUCGCUUUAGCAAAUCAAGAUCAUAAAAUUAUUAAUUGAUUUUUUAAUAAUUGUAGCGUCUAAGUCCGUUUGUAUGCGCCAACUAAUUCUAUGAUAUACUAUAUCUAUUAUUCCUCACCAACCAUGCAUAAAGUAACUUUGUUAUCAAAGCUUGAACUGAUAAGAAGAAAUCAUCACGCGCGUGUUCUUAGUUAGCUAUAUCUAGAAUUUGAAUUUAAAAUCCCAUAAUUUUCAACACAUGACUUCAUUGACCAUCUUUCAAAAAUAACAUAAGAUCUACAUUUAUUCUAUCUUUUCUGAUCUGGUAAAUGAAAUUAUACUGAAUACGUUAUUGUGGUUGUUAUAUUGUCUUUGUGUAUCUAAAGAGAUAUGGAUGUGAGUGGGAACAUCCCAUGUGCAUAUACUCAAGAAAAGGAGAUUGAAAACAAUGUGUAUGAAUUGUGCCUUGGUACAGAAAAAAUAUGGAAUGGUCCCUCAUAACGAUAAUGAGUGAAAAAUGUGAGUUAUAUUAUUUUAGAAAAAUAAAAUAGGAAUCUUUUAGGUGUUGAAUUACAAUUGGUUCUUGUCUAUCUUUUUCGUCUUUUCCUUUUUUAAAGUAGAAUAUAAAAAAAAUAAUACUAAAAAUAGAAAGUUAAUUACCAAAAAGAGAAAUACCAAAAUAAACAUACAAAUUAAUUCUAGAUUAAGAAAAUUAAAAUACCAUAAUACUAAACUUAUUUAUUGAAACCUAAUUUGAAAAGGAUGAAAAUUAUUCUUUCUUUUGAAAAUGAAAUAAAAUUGAUAUUCUAAAAUAUGAUUCUAUUUUUGUAAUUUUUCAAUUUCAACAAAUAAAACUUAUCAAACUAAAACAAAGAUUAAAAAAAAAAACAACAACAUAGCAGUGAAUUUCCAAAAGUGGGUAUAAGAAGGGUAGGAUAUAAGAAGUGUACUGUAACCAACGUAGAAUUGAAAGGAAAAUAACGUCAAGAAAUAUCAAGAUACAUAAAGUAAAUGAAACAACAUGCAAUGGUGAAAAGUAAAGAAUAAGAUAGUAUGCGACUAUGUCUACUAAUCAACAUUUACUAAAUAAAGAGAAGACGAGAAGAGGAAGUUAAUCCCCCGCUUCUCCCACAAAGAAAUAUGACAACAAUAAUCGACUAUUUACUAUUCUUGUACUAUAAUCUUCGAUCUUCAUAUCUUCUUAUUUAGGUCAUGUAUUUCGAAGAUGUUUCAUGUCAUAUCUAAAUUAUCUCUUCUCAAUUCCUCUUCGUCUUAUUUGUACCUCUCAUAAAAUCGGUUACAAAUCAAUCUCUUCACACCUUCUUAUUUGUACACUCAUUCCUGCAUCUCUCCAUAUAUGUUCGAACUAUUUCUAUCUCGUUUUCCUCAUCUUAAUCCUUACUAAAAAAUGUUAAUCAGAUUCCAAUGUGGAUAUCAAAUAUCGAACACCGAAUAAAGAUGAAAAACAAGAAAAAAAUCCAAAGAUGCUGUUUUUAUUCCUGCCACAUAGAUUAUUGGGUCAGCCAUAAAAAUAUCUUCGUUAGCUGGCUGAUGACGUGGACUUCCUCUGGUGGCAGGUUUAGGUCUCUAGAUAUUUUCACCUCAAAAUAUCCUUCAACCACGUGUCGACCAAACUUUCAUUUUUGCCAUCCAAACACCUAUAAACUACCGAAAUGCCAUUGACUAUCAAUACUAGUUUGUAUUUUUUAUUUCUAAAUUCUAAUACUAUACUAUUAGUUCUUACUAUUUUUUGAAAAGUUACACUUUUAAGAUCCACUUUUUUUUAUAUAUUGAUAGCGUUAUUAAAUAUUUAUGAAAUAAAAAAAAAAUUAUUACUCUUUUUUGAAUUAAUUAAAAGGAAAAAGGUAUUGUAUAUAUUAAAAUAGAGCGAAUAUUAUUUUAUCAUGAUUAUUAUUUACAAAAUAUAGUAAGUAAUUGUUCGAUUUUGGAUUCAAAUACCUUCUUUUAUUUCUUUAGUAUGUUUUCCAUUGAUUACUACUUACUUAGUAUAAGUCGCUAGAAGGUGACACGGCUUGAACAACAUGUCUACUUCAGAAGCCAGGGAUAAUUUUAUCUUUCUUCGUGCAAUUACACAUGGCAUUGAUUGAUAAAAAUAUGAAAGACUAGAUUUACCCUUACUCCUCUAUUUUUUUUUUGGCAAUUAACAAAUUUUAUUAAUUACCAUAACCAUGAGAAAUUAUUUUAGAUUUAACCCUUGUCAAAGACAAAAUCCAUCAAAACAAUGUCACAACUAUCAACUAAAUGUGAUAUCUAAUGUGAAUUGUAAAAUUUUUGAACCAUCGAGUCUUUAAUUGCAUAUUACGCUUGAAGCUAUUAGGUCAAUGACAUAUAUUUGUCUGAAUGCCACGCAUUAUAUUGCAUCGCCGCUAAAAUGCUUAAAGAAACUAUCAACUAAAUAUAGACAUAGCAACAACUAUAGCCUUUAAUAUGCAUUUUUGUGCACUCUUAAUUUUCAUAUCAUUAAAUCCAAAAUAUAUACCUAAAACGAGGAAUCAAUUAUACAUAGUACUAGAACUAGAAUACUUAUUCUUAGGGCCACUUAAAUAUAUUUUUAAGUAGCUAGAACAGCUAAUUAACCACUAUUAUAAUGCUAUGUUCCUUAAUCCUAGUAUAUAAUUCAACUUUAAAUAUAAUCAGUAGGUCAAGUGUGAUAAUGACAUCCAUAAUUAUCGUUUAUCACACUCCAAUUUAAUAAUAAAAUAAUAAAUUAACAUUGAAGCAUAACUAUGGCCUAUGGGUUCUCAAUACAUGAAUAUUCUCUCAAACAGGUAUAUAAUUUUUUUAUAAAUAGUUCUACUUUAAAGCAUAGUUACAAAACGUAAAUAUAAUUUAACAUAACUAUAAUUAUUGUAUCAGGUAAAAGAAUUGUAUCAUGCAGAUAUCAAUUAUAUCGACAACUAAUUAUAUUCAAACAACAAGUAUCAUCCGUAUCAGACGGAUAUCAACGCAUACUAUAUCAAUUGAUAAGUUCAAUCUUUAUGUUUCUAUCAACAGAAUUCAUUAUACUUUUAAAAUUACGAAUUCAAAUAUUUUAAUAUUAAAACACACACGUCUAUGCAUGAUAUCAGAAAUACUAGGUUCGUAUUAAUCCAAUUCUUACAUCACCCCCCCCCCCACACACACACACAAUAAAAAUAUCUUACUUUCGGUGUGAACUAUGAAUUAAAUUUCAAAAAAUAACAAUUCUAAAAAAGAUUAUUUAAUUUUGUAAACAAUAAUAGUUUCAAAUUCCAUAGCAGAAACUCCAGUACAUUGUCAUGGAGUAAAACUUGUAAAAACAACAACAUAUCUAGUGUAAUCUCACAAGUGAAGACUAGGGUGAUAGGAUGUGAACAAACCUUAUCCUUACCUUUGUGGUGUAGAGAGAUGUUGUUUCCGAUAGACCCUCGACUCAACAAUAAAGAAAAGAAUUUGAAGCAUGGUAGCAAGAAAAUAUGACAGCAAAACAGCAAGAUACAAAUCAAAUGAAGCAACAAAGUGCAACAAUACUCGGCUACCUACUAACUUUCUAAUCUAAUCCUCAACUUUCACUCCUUCCUAUCUAGGGUCAUAUCCGGAGUAAAACUUGUAGAUUUUGAAAUUACCUGACUAUAGUUAUAUUUCGAAGAUAUGUCCGAAAAGUGGCUCUCUAGUAUGAAUGUAGUUUGGGCAAGUUGUAUGACUUUGGGUCUCUGAAACUAUUCCAACUUGCUUUUUGGUACAAGUCUUAAAUACAAUUUGGGUCUCAAUCUGACAAAUAAUUCAAUGAGCAAAACAAGAAUUCUCACUUCUACCCUUCCACCAACCCUACCAUUACUCUAUUGGAGAGAAGCAGUCACAAAGAGAAGACUUCUCUUUACAAACCCUUAAAAGUCUUGCAUUCCCAUCCAUUACACUGCCUUCUUCUUUCAUAAAGAAUUGGUUUUGAGAAUCUAAAUCAACAACUCAGAACUUCCUCCUACUGUCCUGUUUAGCAAGAAACUAACAAACAGCGAUAUGGCGGCGUAUGCUGCUGUGACUUCACUUUUGCAUACCCUGGACAGUCUAUCUCAAACUGAUAUUCUUUACAAAAAAAAGCAAACUGAAGUCCUCAGUGACAAGUACACCUUCCUUAAAACCUUUCUUGAGGAUUUUACUAAUAUUUUCCAUGAAGAUGUAAAGAUGAAGCAUCUCGAAAGGAUAAUCCAAGAAGCUGCUAAUGGAGUGGAAGAUACUAUUGACUCACAUGUAUAUGAUAGACAUGUUUUAGUACAAAGCAAGCAAGUACGAAGUAAGGCUGAUGCAAUUUUCCAUCAAAACUUGGAAUAUGCAAUUGAGGAAAUUGGUUUGAUACAAAAAGAGGUUAUGAAAAAGAUAAAGGUCAACAAGUUCAACAGCAAAAUCUCUCAUUCAAGAGAUACUUCAUCUCAGAUCCCUUUGGAUCAAAAAGAUAUAAUCGUUGGACUAGAUGAAGAUUUACUAAGGAUAAAAGAUCGACUCAUCGUGCAAUCAUCAAGACUCGAAGUUGUCCCUAUUAUAGGGAUGGGUGGUAUUGGCAAGACCACACUGGCUAGAAGAGUUUAUGAUGAUUCCUUGAUUGCAUACCAUUUUUAUGUCCGAGCAUGGACAAAUGUAUCUCAAGAAUUUGACACCAGAGAAAUUUUUCUUGGUAUUCUUCGCUCCAUUGGCGCAGUCAACGAUGAAGUAGAAAGAAACAGUACUAAUGAGCAAUUGGCUGAAAGAGUUUAUCGAAGUUUAAAAGGGAGGAAGUAUCUUAUUGUCCUAGAUGAUAUGUGGUCCAUCGAGGCUUGGCAGCAUGUGAGGAGAUCAUUUCCAGAUGAUCAUAAUGGAAGUCGAAUCGUGUUGACCACAAGGCUUGCAGAUGUUGCAUCUUGUGCUUGCUCUGUCAAUUCCCUUCACCAGAUGCGCUUUCUGAGCAUGGAGGAAAGCUGGACUCUUUUACGCGAUAAGGUCUUUGGGAACGGUAGUUACUCUCCGGAAUUGGAGAAAAUUGGGAGAUACAUUGUCCAUCAGUGUCAAGGGUUGCCACUUGCAGUUGUUGCAAUUGGUGGACUACUUUCCAAGAUGAGCAAGGAAACAAGUUCUUGGGAGAAUGUUGCAGAAAAGGUAGGAUCGCUUAUGACCAGUGACACUACGGAUUGCUUGAACAUACUUUCUUUGAGCUACAACCACUUGCCUCAGUACUUGAAAGCAUGCUUCCUUUAUAUGGGAGUUUUUGCAGAAAUCCGUGAGAUCCCGGUCUGGAAGUUAAUAAAGUUAUGGAUUGCUGAGGGCUUCGUCAAGAAAGUUAAUCAUAAAAAUCUAGAAGAUGUGGCAGAGGAAAAUUUGAGGGAGUUAGUUGAUAGAAGUUUGGUUUUGGUGGGGAAGCAUACUUCCCUACGAAAAAUCAAGACUUGUAAGAUGCAUGAUCUCGUUCGAGAUAUGUGUUUGAGAGAAGCCAAAUAUGAGAAUUUUAUACACUUCAAAACAAGGUAUGACCAUGAUGACCUUCUAGAAAACAUUAGUUGUCUACGUCGUGUAGCUGAUUUCCAUAAGUAUACAGACAGUGAACUUUCUAAACUUAUGCCACACACACGUUCUGUUUUCUUCAAAUAUCCAUACUUUUUUGUUUCCUCUCACAGUCGAGCUUUAGAUUACUUAGGAUAUUAGAUGUUUGCUUUGAUCCUUUUUUUAACUGUUCUCCGUCCAUAUCCGAAUUGAUUCAUUUGAGGUAUCUUGCUUGUCCGUCCUUCGAUGGCCUUGUGCAGUCAAUAUGCAAGCUUCGGAAUUUACAGAACUUAGUUAUUCAUGAUUCAUGUCCAUUUGGUUUAUGUAUGUGGGAAGUUGUGAAUAUGCCUCAACUAAGACAUAUCCAUACAAAAAAGUUUAUUCUUUUCAUACCCCCACCUACAUCACUAAUUGCUGUGAGGGAGAAUCAUUUACAAACGUUAACCGGAUUGAUUUCCUCAUCUUGUAAUGAAGAGGUGUUUCUAAGAAUUCCAAAUUUGAAGAAGUUGGGAAUAUUAAUUGAUGUUGUUUCAGACACUAUUCAGAAGUGUUAUUGUCUUGAUAAUCUUGUACAUUUAACUCAGCUUGAGAAGCUCAAAGUUGAGUGCGAUUAUCUGCAGGAGUUAAUUUGGAUCUUAGGAGCUCGAAGCUUAGGUUGGGUGGGCCUUCCUUUGCUACACAUUCCACAUUGUGAAAAUUUCCCACCAAACCUUAAGAAGUUAACAUUGUGCAGAACGUACCUACAAUGGGAAGACAUGAACAUUCUCAGAAAAUUACCUAAUCUUGAGGUGCUCAAACUUAAACAUAAUGCCUUUGACGGACUAAUUUGGAUACUAAGCGAUGAAGACGAAGAUGGAUUCUUGAAGCUAAAGUUUUUACUUCUUAAGCGCAUGAGUCUGAAGCAAUGGGAAGCAACAAGUUAUCAUUUUCCAAGCCUUGAGCACUUAGUCCUAAAAGAUUGCCGGAACUUGGAACAAAUUCCUUUCGACUUUGCGGAGAUUCAGACACUACAGCUGAUUGAACUACACGAAUGUAUGCGUUCUGUUCUUGUUUCAGCAGAGCAAAUACAAGCGGAGCAACAAAGCUUGGGAAAUGAUGACCUCAUUAUUCAUGCGAACUAUAUAUGUGAGUAAACAUUAAUCAAAAAGGUAUACAUUUCUUAAAAGCAUAAAUUUUUUGAUUAGCUAGAUUCGUUCGAAAUCUGAAAAUGUUUUUAUAUUCAUCAUUUUCACUUAUUUAUACUAUAAAAGGUGCUAAUUACAAUUGGUUUGUGCAUUGAAGACGUAACGACUAGCUGAUGGAGAGUACCAAAAGGUAUAUAUACUCAAGCAAAUUUGCAGAAGUUCAUAAUCUUUCCUGUCUGUGUAUUUCAAUUUCCUUUUUUUCAAAUUCAGGGAAGUAAGUUAGUGAAAUAGUCAUGUUUCGACUUGUUUAGGACUGAGACUUAGUUUAGUGAAUCUGAUAUCUAUAUACAUUCAUCAGAAAGAAUACAUUACCUUUGGAAUGUGUAUAUAGUUGAAUAACUUCUCUUUUUAUUGAAAUUGAUUCUAUAAAUCAGUUCUCCUCAACAAAACCUUUUUCGUCCAUUACCAAACACACCCUUAGUGUUUCUUUGUUUUGCUCGUCUUAACUCUUAUCUAUACUUUAACAUUUUUGUGUUUUACUUGCUUCUUUUGUUUACAAUAAUGUUUUAUCAUUUUGAAUAUGUUGACUUUUAGUCAAUUUUAUUUUUCUUUAGUUCAAAACAAUAUAAUAAAAGAGGCGUUGAAAAAUUCCAAAUACGUGAAACGUAAUCUUCUCUUUAUUUUGCUUUGCUCUUUCGAUCUUAAUUUAUAUAACGUAUUUCGCUUUUUAGUAUGUCUCAAAACAAAUUUACUACAUUUUUCUAAUUUGAAUAUAUAUUAAAAUUGUGGAUAUCAUAUUUUAGUCAUGAUGUUAUACUUUAGUUAAAGAAUAUUUCUUUUUACUUGUUCACUUUAGCAAAUCAAGAUCAUAAAAUUAUUAAUUGAUUUUUUUAUAAUUGUAGCGUCUAAGUCCGUUUGUAUGCGCACCGACUAAUUCUAUGAUAUACUAUAUCUAUUAUUCCUCACCAACCAUGCAUAAAGUAACUUUGUUAUCAAAGCUUGAACUGAUAAGAAGAAAUCAUCACGUGUUCUUAAUUAGCUAUAUCUAGAAUUUGAAUUUAAAAUCCCAUAAUUUUCAACACAUGACUUCAUUGACCAUCUUUCAAAAACAACAUAAGAUCUACAUUUAUUCUAUCUUUUCUUCCUGAUAAAUGAAAUUACACAAAAUACGUUGCGGUUGUUAUAUUGUCUUUGUGUAUCUAAAGUGAUAUGGGUGUGAGUGGGAACAUCCCAUGAGCAUAUGCUCAAGAAAAGGAUAUUGAAAACAAUGUGUAUGAAUUGUGCCCAAAUUAAAGUCAAUUCACUAUGCAUUUUCUUUAGAAAGAAAUGAAGGGUACAAACAUGUUUUUUUAAUAUUCAAGUUGGAAUAAACAACACAAUAUAAUCAAACUGAGAAAUGAUAUUCAAUAUACUUUUGCAGGCAUCCAGCAAGUUGGAAUAGUUUAAAGGUAAAAUGCAUAAGUACCCCCAGCUUAUGUUCAAAAUCCCUGAGACAUACCUAACAUUUACUAAGGUCCUAUUACUCUCUUGAACUUAUUUUAUAUAUAAUUUUCUACCCCUUUUCAGCUUACAUGGCACUAUCUUGUGGGUCCAGCGCGUGUUGUCAAUUUUUCCAAGGAUAGUGCCACGUAGGCCGAAAAGGGGUAAAGAAUUAUAUAUAAAAUAAGUUUAGGGGUAAUAGGACCUUAGUAAAGGUUAGGUGUGUCUUAGAAAUUUUGGACAUAGGCUGGGGGUACCUUAUGCAUUUCCCCUAGUAUAAAUCAGAUGAGUUCAAAAAGUUGGCACCAUACCGGGUGCAAUUCCGCAAGUAGGGUCUCGGAGGUUAAAAUGUACGCAACCUUAUGAAGGUAGACACACUAUUUUAAGUAGACUCUCGGCUCAAGUAACGCUUAGAAAGAAAAUAUAGUAGGAAGAAGUCAUGCUAAAAAUAACGCAGGAGAGAAUAGUAACAAGAUGUUAAAUAAUGUGGAGCCCAAAUGUAAUUUUCUAACUUUUUUUCUUUUUGUAUUUCUUUCCACAAAAAUAUUGAACUUUGAACUUCACACAUAAAAUCAAUGUUAAAUUUGUCUUACCUUCCCCUCCAAAAUAACCUCUUUAAAAAUGACACAAAUGAAGAAAUUGCACUGAUCCAAAUGAGGAAAAUCAGUUGAAAAGCUUGGAUCUUCCACUGAUGUAAAAAAAAAAUUGAGUCCCCUUUUCCUCUUUUAGUGUAAAGUUCAAAUCUUUGUACUGAUAAUCAGUUUUGAUUGGUUUUUAAAAAAAAAAAAUUAACCCCCUUUUCCUCUUUCAGUUUAAAGCUCAAAUCUUUUUACUGAUAAUCAUUUUAUUUUUUUGCAGAGUUAUGGAGAGCAACACUUAAGAGGAUUGCAAGAGUAACUUAUUUUCCCCCAUAGUACAGUUUCCUCUCUUUUUUUCUCAAUACAUUGCAUUUUUGUUAUUGUUAUUGUUGUUGUUGUUGUGGGUUAGUACAUAAAUGUUGAUCUUUAUUGUGCUUAAUUAUUAUUUCAGAAAGUCACGCUUCUUCUUGAUUUCAAUUUUUUUCAACAAAGAAAGUGACCUUCUGACAAUAAUAACUAUUAGUUGAAUGACCAUCUUAGAAAGUGACAUUUCAAUUUUUUUCGACAAAGAAAGUGACAUUACCUAACCAUAGUUAUUUUUCAAAGAUAUGAUCAAAAAGUGGCUCAUUACGGUAUGAAUGUAGUUUGGGCAAGUUGUAUGACUUUGGGACUCAUUUUAAAAAACUAUUCCAACUUGCCUUUUGGUACAAGUCUUAAAUACCAUUGACUUCAAUCAAAACUCUCUUAUAGAGAAACAGACACAAAGAGAAGACUUCUCUUUACAUAGCCUAACAAGUCUUGCAUUCCCAUCCAUUACACUGCCUUAUCCGAUAGACCCUCGACACAACAAUAAAGAAAAGAAUUUGAAGCAUGGUAGCAAGAAAAUAUGACAGCAAAACAGCAAGAUACAAAUCAAAUGAAGCAACAAGUAGUAAUGCACAUCGAAGAAAAAGAAACAAAGUGCAACAAUAUUGCUACCUACUAACCUUCUAAUGUAAUCCUCAACUUUCACUCCUUCCUACCUAGGGUCAUAUCCGGAGUAAAACUUGUAGAUUUUGAAAUUACCUGACUAUAGUUAUUUUUAGAAGAUAUGUCCGAAAGUGUCUCUCUAGUAUGAAUGUAGUUUGGGCAUGGGUCUCUGACAAACUAUUCCAACUUGCUUUUUGGUACAAGUCUUUAAAUACAAUUUGAGUCUCAAUCUGACAAAUAAUUCAAUGAGCAAAACAAGAAUUCUCACUUCUACCCUUCCACCAACCCCACCAUUACUCUCUUGGAGAGAAACAGACACAAAGAGAAGACUUCUCUUUACAAAACCUAAAAAGUCUAGCAUUCCCAUCCAUUACAUUGCCUUCUUCUUUCAUAAAGAAUUGGUUUUGAACAUCUAAAUCAAGAACUCAGAACUUCCUCCUAUUGUCCUGUAUAGUGAGAAACUAACAAACAGCGAUAUGGCGGCGUAUGCUGCUGUGACUUCACUUUUGCAAACCCUGGAUCAUCUAUCUCAAACUCAUACAUCACAUUCUCUUCAUUACAAAAAAGAGCAAACUGAAGUCCUCAGUGAGAAGUACACCUUCCUUAAAACCUUUCUUGAGGAUUUUACUAAUAUUUUCCAUGAAGAUGUAAUGAUGAAGCAUCUCGAAAGGAUGAUCCAAGAAGCUGCUAAUGGAGUGGAAGAUACUAUUGACUCACAUGUAUAUGAUAGACAUGUUUUAGUACAAAGCAAGCGAGUACGAAGAAAGGCUAAUACAACUUUCCAUCAAAACUUGGAAUAUGCAAUUGAGGAAAUUGGUUUGAUACAAAAAGAGGUUAUGAAAAAGAUAAAAGGUCAACAAGUUCAACAGUAAAAAUCUCUCAUUCAAGAGAUACUUCAUCUCAGAUCCCUUUGGAUCAAUGAGAUGUAAUCAUUGGACUGGAUGAAGACUUGCUAAAGAUAAAAGAUCGACUCAUCGUGCAAUCAUCAAGACUCGAAGUUGUCUCCAUUAUAGGGAUGGGUGGUAUUGGCAAGACCACACUUGCUAGAAGAGUUUAUGAUGAUUCCUUGAUUGCAUACCAUUUUUAUGUUCGAGCAUGGACAAAUGUAUCUCAAGAAUUUGACACUAGAGAAAUUUUUCUUGGUAUUCUUCGCUCCAUUGGCGUGGUCAACGAUGAAGUAGAAAGAAGCAGUACUACUGAGCAAUUGGCUGAAAGAGUUUAUCGAAGUUUAAAAGGGAGGAAGUAUCUUAUUGUCCUAGAUGAUAUGUGGUCUAUCGAGGCUUGGCAGCAUGUGAGGAGAUCAUUUCCAGAUGAUCAUAAUGGAAGUCGAAUCGUGUUGACCACAAGGCUUGUAGAUGUUGCCUCUUGUGCUUGCUCUGGCAAUUCCCUUCACCAGAUGCG